This 233-nucleotide long non-coding RNA is filed under the name Amborella trichopoda. Its description in RNAcentral is "long non-coding RNA (ATRI_LNC005174)". The record is from RNAcentral. Lineage: Eukaryota; Viridiplantae; Streptophyta; Magnoliopsida; Amborellales; Amborellaceae.
ACUUGGGUGGACCUUAGGUCCACCACUUAAAGUUUUAUAAAAACAGCUCUUUUAGGAACACCUUGCAUAUGAGGUGUAUCGUUUUUAUUAGCAUGUCUCUCUCUUUCUCUCUCUCUGCAUUUUUGGGUCAAGGGGCUUCUCUUUUUCUCUCAUUAACAGCUCAUCGACCCUCCCUCAAGAAGCAUCCUCUGUUUCAACAAGAAAGGAGAUUCUUUCGCUUAUCUCCUCUACCC